This 355-nucleotide unclassified non-coding RNA is filed under the name soil metagenome. RNAcentral describes it as "partial contains 5.8S ribosomal RNA, internal transcribed spacer 2, and large subunit ribosomal RNA". The stretch from base 1 to 120 matches the Rfam family "5.8S ribosomal RNA", at positions 35 to 154 of the family's 154-position model. The record is from RNAcentral.
GAUGAAGAACGUAGCGAAAUGCGAUAAGUAAUGUGAAUUGCAGAAUUCAGUGAAUCAUUGAAUCCUUGAACGCACAUUGCGCCCAUUAGUAUUCUAGUGGGCAUGCCUGUUCGAGCGUCAUUAAGUCCACUUAAGCCCUGCUUAGUGUUGGGAGACUGCUCCAGCGGUGCUACCCUGUAGCUACCCUGCAGCUCCUCAAAGACAGCGGCGGAGUUGUGGUAUCCUCUGAGCUUAGUAACUUGUUCUAGCUUUCGAGUACACCACUUCCCCUGCCGUAAAACCCUUAAUUUUUAAUGGUUGACCUCGGAUCAGGUAGGAAUACCCGCUGAACUUAAGCAUAUCAAUAAGCGGAGGA